GAAAAAUGUUGAAGGAGAGCCACAUUUUGUCAUUUAAGGGUUUCUUGAUCAUGGAACUCUUUUUAGUGGUGGCCACUAGUAUCAGUUCAAGGUUCAGGGGGACCAGAACUGCAGGGUCUCCGUCGGUUCCAAUUCUGGUUUUGAUCAAAUCUAACGGCUAAAUUCUUUUAAAAAUUUUUCAAAUAUUUUUUUAGAAGAAAAAAAAAUCUGGUUUUGGCCUAGAGUCGAACCUGACUACCAGGACCAGUUCUGCUCAGUCUGGUAUCAGUUCCAGGUUGGACCAGCCCGGUUCCGAACCAGAUCGUGCACGGGCCUAGCUCUCUUCUUGUUUUCUCUUUUCGUUUUUCAUUUUUUUUAUUUGCUUUUAAGAAUAUAUCACUGUAAAAGGUACCAUUGUUAGAUGCAAUUGAGUUAUUAUCACUUUAAUCAUAAAUGUCUCUGGUGCAAGUCUGUUCUUUUGUGGGGCUGGGUUACCAUCAGGGUUUUUGACCUUUUGAAGUUUGAACGACUUGAAUAUGAUAUUUUUCAUAAAGUACAGGCGUGCCAUAUAGUUUGGUUACUUUAUUUAUAUUAUUUCUCUACUUGGAAAAAGUAAUACUUCAGCAAAGAUGCCUGAUUUGCUUUUGCA
RNAcentral lists this unclassified non-coding RNA (628 nucleotides) under Hevea brasiliensis (rubber tree). Lineage: Eukaryota; Viridiplantae; Streptophyta; Magnoliopsida; Malpighiales; Euphorbiaceae. The record is from RNAcentral.